GCCUCGCUCAGCCGGUAGAGUGUGAGACUCUUAAUCUCAGCAUUGUGGGUUCGAGCCCCAUGUUGGGCA
RNAcentral lists this transfer RNA (69 nucleotides) under Nestor notabilis (Kea). It matches the Rfam family "tRNA". Rfam says of the family: Transfer RNA (tRNA) molecules are approximately 80 nucleotides in length. Their secondary structure includes four short double-helical elements and three loops (D, anti-codon, and T loops). The record is from Rfam by way of RNAcentral. Lineage: Eukaryota; Metazoa; Chordata; Aves; Psittaciformes; Psittacidae.